AAAAAAACACAAACGAUCAAGGAUCCACAGUGUGCACACCACAAUCUUCUGGCAGGGUGGCAGCGGCGCCAAGAACCGAAUCCGCCGCACGGAUAAGAUGUGCCAUGUGGCGGGCGGCCAGUGGGGGGAAUCGACCGGGGCGCCCGCCGCGCCGGCUGGGGAUAAUCCGCGCCCGUGCAAUUUGAGGCCAUUACCCCCUUGGUCGCGUGCACCACACCCUCUCAUUCUCUCUCCAUCCAGCGCGAGCUCGAGAGGCAGGUCAGCAGCAGAGCGAGAGCGCGUGCCAGCCCAUGGCGAGCACCAACAUGGCGUCGGCCACCUCGCGGUUCAUGCUGGCCGCGGGCGUGCCCGCGACGGGCAGCGGCAGCAGCGGCCGCGUCAGCUUCGCGUCGGCGCCCGGCAGGCUGCAGGGCAGGAGACUCGUGGUGCGGGCCGAGGAGGAGGCCGCGGCGGAGGCGCCCGCGGCGGAAGGGGAGGGCGCCGUGGCCACCAAGCCCAAGGCCGAGAAGCCGCCGCCGAUCGGGCCCAAGAGGGGCGCCAAGGUCUGUGCCAUCAUCUGUGCUCAUCAACGACCAGCAAUUUAGUUUAAUUUGAUGCAAUCCGUUGCUUAAUCU
Molecule: long non-coding RNA, 614 nt
Filed under: Panicum hallii
Lineage: Eukaryota; Viridiplantae; Streptophyta; Magnoliopsida; Poales; Poaceae
Description: long non-coding RNA (PHAL_LNC000131)
Source: RNAcentral